UUUGGAGGGGCAAGUCUGGUGCCAGCAGCCGCGGUAAUUCCAGCUCCAAUAGCGUAUAUUAAAGUUGUUGCAGUUAAAAAGCUCGUAGUUGAACCUUGGGCCUGGCUGGCCGGUCCGCCUCACCGUGUGCACUGGUUCGGCCGGGCCUUUCCCUCUGGGGAACCCCAUGCCCUUCGCUGGGUGUGGCGGGGAACCAGGACUUUUACUGUGAAAAAAUUAGAGUGUUCAAAGCAGGCCUAUGCUCGAAUACAUCAGCAUGGAAUAAUAGAAUAGGACGUGCGGUUCUAUUUUGUUGGUUUCUAGGACCGCCGUAAUGAUUAAUAGGGACAGUCGGGGGCAUCAGUAUUCAAUUGUCAGAGGUGAAAUUCUUGGAUUUAUUGAAGACUAACUACUGCGAAAGCAUUUGCCAAGGAUGUUUUCAUUAAUCAGGAACGAAAGUUAGGGGAUCGAAGACGAUCAGAUACCGUCGUAGUCUUAACCAUAAACUAUGC
Molecule: ribosomal RNA, 491 nt
Filed under: uncultured fungus
Lineage: Eukaryota; Fungi
Description: SSU rRNA
Rfam family: Eukaryotic small subunit ribosomal RNA
Source: RNAcentral